This is a non-coding RNA of Acanthosepion pharaonis, 108 nucleotides long. The record is from the annotation of a GenBank genome assembly. NCBI's taxonomy places the organism in Eukaryota, Metazoa, Mollusca, Cephalopoda, Sepiida, Sepiidae.
GGUCAUAUCACGUUGAAAAACCAGUUCUCGUACGAUCACAGAAGGUAAGCAACGUUAAGCCUAGUUAGUACCUAGAUGGGUAACCGCUUAGGAAUACCAGGUGCUGUA